UACGAAGGUGGCUAGCGUUGUUCGGACUUACUGGGCGUAAAGCGCACGUAGGCGGAUAUUUAAGUCAGGGGUGAAAUCCCGGGGCUCAACCCCGGAACUGCCUUUGAUACUGGGUAUCUCGAGUCCGAGAGAGGUGAGUGGAAUUCCGAGUGUAGAGGUGAAAUUCGUAGAUAUUCGGAGGAACACCAGUGGCAAAGGCGGCUCACUGGCUCGGUACUGACGCUGAGGUGCGAAAGCGUGGGGAGCAAACAGG
This 253-nucleotide ribosomal RNA is filed under the name uncultured bacterium. Its description in RNAcentral is "partial 16S ribosomal RNA". It matches the Rfam family "Bacterial small subunit ribosomal RNA", at positions 524 to 776 of the family's 1533-position model. The record is from RNAcentral.